GACGAACGCUGGCGGCGUGCCUAAUACAUGCAAGUAGAACGCACAGUUUAUACCGUAGCUUGCUACACCAUACACUGUGAGUUGCGAACGGGUGAGUAACGCGUAGGUAACCUGCCUGGUAGCGGGGGAUAACUAUUGGAAACGAUAGCUAAUACCGCAUAAUAUUGAUUAUUGCAUGAUAAUUGAUUGAACGAUGCUAUUGCAUCACUACCAGAUGGACCUGCGUUGUAUUAGCUAGUAGGUGAGGUAACGGCUCACCUAGGCGACGAUACAUAGCCGACCUGAGAGGGUGAUCGGCCACACUGGGACUGAGACACGGCCCAGACUCCUACGGGAGGCAGCAGGAGGGAAUCUUCGGCAAUGGACGAAAGUCUGACCGAGCAACGCCGCGGGAGUGAAGAAGGUUUUCGGAUCGUAAAGCUCUGUUGUAAGAGAAGAACGGGUGUGAGAGUGGAAAGUUCACACUGUGACGGUAUCUUACCAGAAAGGGACGGCUAACUACGUG
RNAcentral lists this ribosomal RNA (505 nucleotides) under uncultured bacterium. Its description in RNAcentral is "partial 16S ribosomal RNA". It matches the Rfam family "Bacterial small subunit ribosomal RNA", at positions 28 to 507 of the family's 1533-position model. The record is from RNAcentral.